UACGGGGGGGGCAAGCGUUGUUCGGAAUUACUGGGCGUAAAGGGUUAGUAGGUGGCCAACUAAGUCAGACGUGAAAUCCCUCAGCUUAACUGGGGAACUGCGUCCGAUACUGGUUGGCUUGAGUUUGGGAGAGGGAUGCGGAAUUCCAGGUGUAGCGGUGAAAUGCGUAGAUAUCUGGAGGAACACCGGUGGCGAAGGCGGCAUCCUGGACCAAUACUGACGCUGAGGAGCGAAAGCCAGGGGAGCAAACGGG
This 253-nucleotide ribosomal RNA is filed under the name uncultured bacterium. RNAcentral's name for it is "partial 16S ribosomal RNA". It matches the Rfam family "Bacterial small subunit ribosomal RNA", at positions 524 to 776 of the family's 1533-position model. The record is from RNAcentral.